This 467-nucleotide ribosomal RNA is filed under the name uncultured bacterium. RNAcentral describes it as "partial 16S ribosomal RNA". It matches the Rfam family "Bacterial small subunit ribosomal RNA", at positions 29 to 507 of the family's 1533-position model. The record is from RNAcentral.
ACGAACGCUGGCGGCGUGCUUAACACAUGCAAGUCGAACGGAAAGGCCCUGCUUUUGUGGGGUGCUCGAGUGGCGAACGGGUGAGUAACACGUGAGUAACCUGCCCUUGACUUUGGGAUAACUUCAGGAAACUGGGGCUAAUACCGGAUAGGAGCUCCUGCUGCAUGGUGGGGGUUGGAAAGUUUCGGCGGUUGGGGAUGGACUCGCGGCUUAUCAGCUUGUUGGUGGGGUAGUGGCUUACCAAGGCAUUGACGGGUAGCCGGCCUGAGAGGGUGACCGGCCACAUGGGGACUGAGAUACGGCCCAGACUCCUACGGGAGGCAGCAGUGGGGAAUAUUGCACAAUGGGCGGAAGCCUGAUGCAGCAACGCCGCGUGCGGGAUGACGGCCUUCGGGUUGUAAACCGCUUUCGCCUGUGACGAAGCGUGAGUGACGGUAAUGGGUAAAGAAGCACCGGCUAACUACGUG